This is a long non-coding RNA of Fundulus heteroclitus (mummichog), 406 nucleotides long. RefSeq lists it as uncharacterized. NCBI's taxonomy places the organism in Eukaryota, Metazoa, Chordata, Actinopteri, Cyprinodontiformes, Fundulidae. The transcript has 3 exons. The record is from RefSeq and is a predicted model, not a curated record.
CCAUCUCCACCAGGUGCUGAUCCAACAAAGGAUGGAGAUUUCACAUUACAGUGUUCUCUGGUCAGAUACAGAGGGUUGGAUCCUUGUCCAGAGAAGAGCCUCCUCUGGGUGGAUGAGACAGGAAGUGAGCUGCUUGGUGAAGGUGUUGGGUUCAAGUCUGGCGGACAGACUGGCUGUGAUUCUUAUCUCACUGUGAAGCUUCAGAGCAGCAGCAACAGAACAUACACCUGCCAGUUUGUUAAGAACAACACAGUGAAGAUAGAAGCUCACUACACACCUGAGACUGAAGCUUCCACUGACUGGUCUCCUCUGAGCUUCAUCAUGAUGACUCUGAGGAUCACAGCACUGAUCCUGAUGGUUGGAAUCACUGUUGGUAUCAUCAGAACCAGAGGAAGCAAAAAGCCAC